This 1464-nucleotide long non-coding RNA is filed under the name Calidris pygmaea (Spoon-billed sandpiper). RNAcentral's name for it is "lncRNA (ENSCPGG00000002906.1)". The record is from RNAcentral. Lineage: Eukaryota; Metazoa; Chordata; Aves; Charadriiformes; Scolopacidae.
GAUACAAUUAAGAUAUCAUUCUGUUUUCAUGCUCAAAGAAACACAAACAACCAGGAAAGGAAAACUGGAACAUGUUCAUUCUGCAUUCAGAGAAAACCAACUGAUUUAUCAGAUACCAACUUGAGCAGUGAUUCAGAAGACAUCGCAGCCUAUGAUUCUUAUGAUUCACAACAUGAGGAACUUGUGAAUGGCGAGACUGAAAGUUACAAAACAUUCAAUACAAGAUUAUGUGGAGAGAGAAAAGGACUUAGAUGCAGAUGUCCUAGAGGAAGCAGAGAUCAAUUUAAACUCAGGAAUUACAAAGAGCCUGUUCAGUCUUGUGCUCUACAUAGAAAUAAACAUUCUGGUUCAACCUCUUAUUCACAGAAGAGAAUCGCCAUUCAAAAGGCUCAAACAAAUAAGCAGCCACGUGAACUUGUAAACAGACUUUCUGAAAGGCAAAACUUUGAGGCUGCCAAAACCUGCUAUUCAAGCACCCAUGAUAAUUUUAUCCCUUCACAUCAAUACUUACCCAGCAAGAAGUGUGUCCGAAGCAAGUCUGCAAUCAACAUCAGAAACAGAAAUGCCAACGAUUCCAAUGCAAAUGUAAGACUUAAGAGUGAAAAAUUAAAAGCCACGCAACUAUCUCAGGAAGUGUACGCCUGCACAUCAUGGCACUGUUGAACAUCCCCAUUCUUAGCAAGUUGAUUAUUACAAUCUAAGCACACUAGUCCAUUUGAGGAUAAGACAGGAGGAAGUUAAAAAAAACAAGUGUUUUAGCUUAUAAUAUUAGUAUAUUAUUUCAUAUGAGUAUGUUAAAGACUUUUUAUGCAACUUAGUCCCUGUAUAAAUGGUGAAGGGAACAGAGAAGGAGCCCUGGAUCUUAACUCUGGAAUUAUGUUUCACAUACUGAAACAAAGAAUGUCAUCCUAGCCACACAAACCAUAUUCUCGUAUCCAAAAGAAAGCCUCCUCAAUACAACAAACAUACAUCACACUGGAGCUGCUACUUUAGAAAGGUGUAAAUAUCCCUCAGUUCACUGGAUUACAAAAUUAAAGAGAGAAAUAGGUAACAGAUUCUUCCAACUUGAAUCCUGGAACAGUAUAUCACAUGACUCAGAAUUUUUACUUCUCAACGUGUAUUCAGAGUGAAAAUGCUACAUAAAACAUUAAUUAAACAUAACUUUCUAUUCUAUACCUAUGUGAACAUUUGCCUUCAGUAUUAACAAGGCUAUACUUCAUUAUUCCCAACAGAUUUUAAGUUCUACUCUGGAUCAUGCCCUACACACAGCGAACAUUUUGAAGAAAGCUACAGAACGAAUGGUACGAGCAGUUUCAGAAGAUCUAGCUAAAGUUAAAAGGAAACAGCUUUAGUUGCCCAGUUUCAAAGGCUAUAUUGUUUUGUUGGUUGAUACUUAAGUGUCAUUAUUUCUGAAAAUAUGAAAUGAGAAAUAAAAAUAUUAGAAAGUCAGCUAGCUGACUUUGC